CUGGGUUAGUCGGGACCUAAGGAGAGACCGAAAGGUGUAUCCGAUGGACAACAGGUUGAUAUUCCUGUACUAGAGUAUGUAGUGAUGGAGGGACGCAGUAGGCUAACUAAAGCAGACGAAUGGAAGAGUCUGUCUAAGCAGUGAGGUGUGAAUUGAGUCAAAUGCUUAGUUCUAUAACAUUGAGCUGUGAUGGGGAGCGAAGUUUAGUAGCGAAGUUAGUGACGUCACACUGCCAAGAAAAGCUUCUAGCGUUUAAACAUACUCUACCCGUACCGCAAACCGACACAGGUAGUCGA
This 296-nucleotide ribosomal RNA is filed under the name Streptococcus oralis. Its description in RNAcentral is "partial 23S ribosomal RNA". It matches the Rfam family "Bacterial large subunit ribosomal RNA", at positions 1375 to 1670 of the family's 2925-position model. Lineage: Bacteria; Bacillati; Bacillota; Bacilli; Lactobacillales; Streptococcaceae. The record is from RNAcentral.